Molecule: long non-coding RNA, 549 nt
Organism: Mus musculus (house mouse)
Lineage: Eukaryota; Metazoa; Chordata; Mammalia; Rodentia; Muridae
Product: predicted gene, 35765
Exons: 4
Source: RefSeq, a predicted model, not a curated record
UCCUCCUCUCCUCUCUUCUCUCCCUCUUUCUCUCUUUCUCUCUCCUAUAACUCCAGAGCAACAGGGUGUCACCUCGAGGUCCCCAGUGGGGGACUGCCCCUUAUCCACCCCCCACCCCGCAGUGUGGGGUGAGAGACUUAGAUGCCCACCUGGGGCCAAGUGGAAAGUGAUGGAUGCCAUGACUCACACAACUUCUGAAUUGAUCCAUUGACUAUCCCUGCUGCUUGUACCCUGGACUGCCUGCUGCCCAACUCUACUUGCCCUUGAGGAUUGGAGAUAAUUGUGGAGAAGAUGAACUUUCUGGAGUAUCUCACAGAAAAAACGUAUGCCGAGGAAGAAAAAUCCUACACAUUAUUCCCUUUAAAGUCUUCUGUUGAUACACAACUGCCACUCCAACAGGCUCUCCCUUGGUGCCUCCAGGCUACUGAAACCAGGAAUGCAGUAAGACUAACUACAGAUUUUCACCCCUCCUUCCUAUCCUCCAAAUACAAUCCCACUGCCUCACUCCCAACUCUGUAGCAUACUGUCAGGAGCCAUUUAGGAAAGGCU